GACCGCGACCCCAGGUCAGGCGGGACUACCCGCUGAG
Molecule: ribosomal RNA, 37 nt
Filed under: Utricularia intermedia
Lineage: Eukaryota; Viridiplantae; Streptophyta; Magnoliopsida; Lamiales; Lentibulariaceae
Also listed under: 3 other names
Description: partial 26S ribosomal RNA
Source: RNAcentral